Molecule: transfer RNA, 74 nt
Filed under: Peptoniphilus sp. oral taxon 386 str. F0131
Lineage: Bacteria; Bacillati; Bacillota; Tissierellia; Tissierellales; Peptoniphilaceae
Rfam family: tRNA
About the family: Transfer RNA (tRNA) molecules are approximately 80 nucleotides in length.
Source: Rfam by way of RNAcentral
GUGCCUGUAGCUUAAUUGGAUAAAGCAGCAGCUUCCGAAGCUGAAGAUUGGGGGUUCGAAUCCCUUCAGGCAUA